This is a non-coding RNA of Amanita rubescens, 74 nucleotides long. NCBI's taxonomy places the organism in Eukaryota, Fungi, Basidiomycota, Agaricomycetes, Agaricales, Amanitaceae. The record is from the annotation of a GenBank genome assembly.
GGCCGACUAGCGCAGUUGGUUAGAGCAUCGAGCUAAUGACUCGAAGGUCUUGGGUUCAAACCCCAAGUUGGCCA